This is an RNA transcript of Ricinus communis (castor bean), 2263 nucleotides long. It is a transcript of the gene named protein COFACTOR ASSEMBLY OF COMPLEX C SUBUNIT B CCB2, chloroplastic, with no coding region annotated. The record is from RefSeq and is a predicted model, not a curated record. Lineage: Eukaryota; Viridiplantae; Streptophyta; Magnoliopsida; Malpighiales; Euphorbiaceae. The transcript has 8 exons.
UUCAUUCUUUUCUUUGAGUUAUUUCAGGAGUUGAAAAUCCAAAAUUUCUCGAUUGCCAAACAACAGAAAGAAAGAAAAAUAGAAAAAUGAGCAAUCUUUCAAUAAACCCGCUAAUAACGCAUCCGAAAUUUCGCGCCAAUAACAGUGUAAAGUCCAAAAACGCAUCGAUAAUAGUUCGAAUUGAUAAUUCUCAAAGGAAAAAAGAUCAGCAGCAGGACCUCAAUCUUUCUGUUCUUCGCUUCACAUUUGGGAUACCUGGAUUAGAUGAGUCAUAUCUACCCAGAUGGAUAGGAUACGGGUUCGGAUCGCUUUUGGUAUUGAACCACUUUCUGGGUUCUAAUUCUGUUACCAGUCUGCCACAAAUGAGGACGGAGGCUCUGGGCCUUUCUUUGGCAGCAUUCUCUAUUGCACUUCCUUAUUUUGGAAGAUUUCUCAAAGGUGCUACUCCAGUGGAUCAGACAGCGCUUCCUCAAGGAUCUGAGCAAAUUUUUGUGAUGUCAGAAAAUGUGUCUGAUACUCUAAAGGAGGACUUGGCUUGGGCAACCUAUGUUUUACUGAGAAAUACAAACAGUAUAGCUGUGUUAAUUUAUAUUCAAGGUGAGUUAUGUGUCCGGGGAUAUUGGAACACUCCAGAUAAUAUAUCAAAGGCUCAGGUCAUAGAUUGGUUUAAGGGACGGAUUGAAGAUAUUGGGUUGUUUGACUUGAAGGAUACCCUUUAUUUUCCGCAGACUGCAGAAUCCAGACUCUGGGAGAUGCUUCCCAGGGGGACUCGUUCACUUCUGGUAGAGCCUGUGCUUCUACAAAAUGCCAAGGAGAUGGAUAGGGCUGAAGGUUUUGUCUUGUUGGCCUCUAGCAUUGACACUGCAUAUACUGACAAGGACAGAGCCUGGAUAGGAGCAGUGGCAAACAAAUUUGGAGUUGGAAUUCUCAUUCCCAAGAAGGAUGUUAUUUGUCCAGAUAAAGUAAUUGGUCAAGAAGGGAAUGCUGAAGAUUGAAAAUAAAUUGCUAGAUACCACGGAUACAUGGUUUGAGGAGUGUUGUCUGAGAAUGGAGAACGGCCAAAAUCUAGCAGGUUUACCAAGGAGUUAAGUUCCAUGCCGAGAUUCGAGAGCAUCAAACAUCUUACAAAAGUUUUUCCAAGCCAUAUACCAGAUUCUACAGAAAAAGACAAAAAGAAGGAUUUUACAUUGAGGCUUGCUGAAGCUUGAAGCAGAGGGAAUGAAGAAAAAAAGAAAUGAAAAACAAAACAAUGGGUUACCUUUAGACGGAUGACCUUUCUAAUAGCCAAGAGUAGGCCAGACAUGAGGCAUUGCACAUCUGUGAUAUCAUGUUUGAUAGAGUAUACCUGAGGUCAACAGCCACAAAGUAGAAAGGAAAAAUUUCAACUUUUCAAUGUUUUCCAAUGAUAAAAAAAAAAGUCAGAAAUUGCACCUCUCCUGGUUUAGAGAAGUAAACUGUCGUGCUGGAGGGAAGCCCUGGUAGGACUAAGCUAUGCACCCUGACACCAUCUUCUCCAAGAACUUGGCCCCUAGCCUUGCAAUAAAAGGAAAAUGAACUGUAGUAGUUUUGAUAGCUUUUGGCAUCAAAGAAAUUCCGGUAUAUUUUAACUUUGCGAAGUGGCUUCUUACCAAAACAUCUGUUGAUAGAUCUUCUUUAUUGUAGAUCUGGCCCAGGUUGGAGAGGUUCUUUGCAAUUUGGUUUGCAUCGGCUGAUGGAAGGUCCUGUAUAUAAAAGAAAAUUCGAAAUGCAAUAUCUAAUGCUUCAUCCUCAAGGUUUGGUUCACUGUGUUUGAGCAUGAGCAUAAUUGGUAAGAUGCAGAUAGAAUUUCAUUUAACUUACUGCUCCGUGUGCCCUUGAUUCCACAAUCUCUACGUUAUUAUAGUGAAAAGAAGCUGAAAUCGCGGCUUGCUGCAGGAGUAUUGAUCCUAUGGAUAGAGUCGGUGCAACCAGACAACCCUGUUGUUUGUGCAGCCCAAUUUGAAAGUGUCGUAAUUGAAGAAGAAAUGUGGGUCUUUAGAUGAAUGAUGAAUGGAGGUGUUCACCGUAGUUUAACUGUAAUAAUAUCUCACCCUAUGCUCACCAUGCUGGCCUUCUCACAGAGUGCAGAUAAUGCAGCAAUUGUAUCUACUUUAAUUCGAGGCACGUAGACUAUACUUUUCAUGCCAAAUGCUGUUGCCUAGCAGUUUACGGAAGUUGAAAGAAAUCUGUGAUUAGUUGCUGUUAAUAGAGAUAACAACGAAAAUACAAACUGUUUGUUUAUGCA